AAAUUGAAGAGUUUGAUCAUGGCUCAGAUUGAACGCUGGCGGCAGGCCUAACACAUGCAAGUCGAGCGGUAGCACAGAGAGCUUGCUCUCGGGUGACGAGCGGCGGACGGGUGAGUAAUGUCUGGGAAACUGCCUGAUGGAGGGGGAUAACUACUGGAAACGGUAGCUAAUACCGCAUAACGUCGCAAGACCAAAGUGGGGGACCUUCGGGCCUCAUGCCAUCAGAUGUGCCCAGAUGGGAUUAGCUAGUAGGUGGGGUAACGGCUCACCUAGGCGACGAUCCCUAGCUGGUCUGAGAGGAUGACCAGCCACACUGGAACUGAGACACGGUCCAGACUCCUACGGGAGGCAGCAGUGGGGAAUAUUGCACAAUGGGCGCAAGCCUGAUGCAGCCAUGCCGCGUGUGUGAAGAAGGCCUUCGGGUUGUAAAGCACUUUCAGCGGGGAGGAAGGCGUUAAGGUUAAUAACCUUGGCGAUUGACGUUACCCGCAGAAGAAGCACCGGCUAACUCCGUGCCAGCAGCCGCGGUAAUACGGAGGGUGCAAGCGUUAAUCGGAAUUACUGGGCGUAAAGCGCAC
Molecule: ribosomal RNA, 578 nt
Filed under: Klebsiella pneumoniae
Lineage: Bacteria; Pseudomonadati; Pseudomonadota; Gammaproteobacteria; Enterobacterales; Enterobacteriaceae
Description: bacterial SSU rRNA
Rfam family: Bacterial small subunit ribosomal RNA
Source: RNAcentral